GGAAAGGAAAUAAAGUGGUAAUUUCUGGUUACUUUUCCAUCAUUACCAAACAUGAGAAAUGAGUCUUCCAUUUCUCAUCCAUUUGAAAAAAGACAUGAAAAAUUAUUUCCCUUUGAAUAUUUUCUACUAACCAAACGGGGCCUAAAUGCAUUUUAAUUUGGUGGCUAAUUUUCAUGUGUUGUAUGAUCUGUUGGGUUGUAUGUUGUGCCAUCAUUUUGCGUAGUUCUCAUUUCCAUUUUGGUCAUUUCACACAUAAGUUUCAUAUCAUAAUAAUAAAUCUUGCUGACUUGGGUAACGCGAGUUGGACAGGGCAGUGGGCCCGGCCUAAAGUUCGAAUUCCCCUCCUUGUAAUGUAGAGUAUAUCGCUUGUAUAAAAAAUUAAAUCCUCUCCCCAUAUUUUUUUUUACUAAGGUAGGGAUGUUCAAAC
RNAcentral lists this long non-coding RNA (427 nucleotides) under Prunus persica (peach). RNAcentral describes it as "long non-coding RNA (PPER_LNC005072)". The record is from RNAcentral. Lineage: Eukaryota; Viridiplantae; Streptophyta; Magnoliopsida; Rosales; Rosaceae.